GGAAGUAAGAAAGAGCGUAUGGGGGAUGCCUGUGGCUCUUGGAGGCGAUGAAGGACGUGGUAAGCUGCGAUAAGCCCGGGGGAUUAGCAAACGUGAAUUGAUCCCGGGAUUUCCGAAUGGGGCAACCCGGCAGACGGAAGGUCUGUCACAUCCGUAAGGGUGAGCUAACCCGCUGAACUGAAACAUCUAAGUAGGCGGAGGAGAAGAAAACAAAAGUGAUUCCCGGAGUAGUGGCGAGCGAAACGGGAUUAGCCCAAACCGAUGUUGUUACGGCAAUGUCGGGGUAAUAGGACUACGAUAUACGAAUGUCGACGAAGUGGAACUACCUGGAAAGGUAGGCAAUAAAGGGUGAAAGCCCCGUACACGUAAGUUUGGCUGGAGUUAGUAGUAUCCUGAGUAUGGCGGGACACGAGGAAUCCUGUCAGAAUUAGCCGGGACCACCCGGUAAGGCUAAAUACUCCCAAGAGACCGAUAGUGAACCAGUACCGUGAGGGAAAGGUGAAAAGUACCCCGAACAGGGGAGUGAAAAAGAACCUGAAACCAUGCGCUUACAACCUGUAGGAGCGGCUUAGUGCCGUGACUGCGUGCCUUUUGCAUAAUGAGCCUACGAGUUACUGAUCACUGGCGAGGUUAAGCACCAAUAGGUGCGGAGCCGAAGCGAAAGCGAGUCUGAAUAGGGCGAUAUAGUCAGUGGUCGUAGACGCGAAACCUUGCGAUCUACCCUUGAGCAGGAUGAAGGUUGGGUAAUACCAACUGGAGGUCCGAACCGAUAAGCGUUGAAAAGCUUCCGGAUGACUUGAGGGUAGGGGUGAAAGGCUAAUCAAGCUGGGAAAUAGCUCGUACUCCCCGAAAUGCUUUUAGGAGCAGCGUUAUAAUAGUUUGCCGCAGGUAGAGCUACUGAUUGGAUGCGGGGGCUUCACCGCCUACCAAAUCCUGACAAACUCCGAAUGGCGGUAAUAUGAUUUAUAGCAGUGAGCCACCGGGUGCUAAUGUCCGGUGACGAGAGGGAAAGAACCCAGACCAUCAGCUAAGGCCCCCAAACGUAUGCUAAGUUGAGUUAACGAUGUUUUGUUGCAGCGACAGCUAGGAUGUUAGCUUGGAAGCAGCUAUUCAUUUAAAGAGUGCGUAACAGCUCACUAGUCGAGCGACAGAGCGUGGAUAAUAACCGGGCAUCAAGCAUACUGCCGAAGCUAUGGACGAAAGUGGUAGGGGAGCAUUCCACCGCCGCUGAAGCUGAUCCGUGAGGAUUGGUGGAGGUUGUGGAAAAGCAAAUGUAGGCAUAAGUAACGAUAAGGCGGGUGAGAAACCCGCCCACCGCAAGACCCAGGUUUCCUGAUCAACGUUAAUCGGAUCAGGGUUAGUCGGGACCUAAGCGUAAGCCGAAGGGCGAUUCGCGAUGGAAGAUCGGUUAAUAUUCCGAUACCGGCUGCAACUGCGAUGGAGUGACACAGACACGUAAGCACCGCGACCUGACGGAAUAGGUCGUUAAAGCGCGUAGGUAUAGGCUUUCGUUAAUAGCGAGAGUUUGCUGAAACGUGACAGUACCGCGAGGCUUCGGCCGAGCGGAUAGUGUGCCCAAGUAUGCUGUCGAGAAAACCUUCUAAGCUAUAGGUUGCAGCUGCCCGUACCGUAAACCGACACAGGUGGUCGAGGAGAGUAUCCUAAGGUGCUCGAGUGAAUCACGGUUAAGGAACUAGGCAAAUUAACCCCGUAACUUGGAAUAAGGGGUCCCCACGCGAGUGGGGCGCAGCGAAGAGGUCCAGGCGACUGUUUAUCAAAAACACAGGGCUCUGCUAAGUCGCAAGACGACGUAUAGGGCCUGACACCUGCCCGGUGCUGGAAGGUUAAGAGGGGAUGUCAUCGCAAGAGAAGCAUUGAAUCGAAGCCCCAGUAAACGGCGGCCGUAACUAUAACGGUCCUAAGGUAGCGAAAUUCCUUGUCGGGUAAGUUCCGACCUGCACGAAUGGUGUAACGAUCUGCCAUGAGCUCGGUGAAAUUGUAGUCCCGGUGAAGAUGCCGGGUACCCGCAACGGGACGAAAAGACCCCGUGAACCUUUACUAUAGCUUAACGCUGGUUUUGGGUGCAUAAUGUGUAGGAUAGGCAGGAGACUGUGAAGCGGGCACGCCAGUGCUUGUGGAGUCGCCGUUGAAAUACUGCCCUUUGUGUAUUUGAAACCUAACCCUUAACGGGGGACACCGUUUGGUGGGUAGUUUGACUGGGGUGGUCGCCUCCAAAAGCGUAACGGAGGCUUCCCAAGGUACCCUCAGCACGAAUGGUAACCGUGCGUAGAGUGCAAUGGCACAAGGGUGCUUGACUGCGAGACCGACAAGUCGACCAGGUGCGAAAGCAGGGCAUAGUGAUCCGGUGGUUCUGUGUGGACUGGCCAUCGCUCAAAGGAUAAAAGGUACUCCGGGGAUAACAGGCUGAUCGCCG
RNAcentral lists this ribosomal RNA (2434 nucleotides) under termite gut metagenome. Its description in RNAcentral is "bacterial LSU rRNA". It matches the Rfam family "Bacterial large subunit ribosomal RNA", at positions 1 to 2491 of the family's 2925-position model. The record is from RNAcentral.